ACGGGAGGCAGCAGUGGGGGAUAUUGCACAAUGGGGGAAACCCUGAUGCAGCGACGCCGCGUGAGUGAUGAAGUAUUUCGGGUUGUAAACUUCUUUUAAGUGGGACGACAAUGACGGUACCACUUGAAUAAGCUCCGGCUAACUACGUGCCAGCAGCCGCGGUAAUACGUAGGGAGCAAGCGUUAUCCGGAUUUACUGGGUGUAAAGGGCGUGUAGGCGGGACAUCAAGUCAGAUGUGAAAGCACGAGGCUCAACUUCGUGUCUGCAUUUGAAACUGACGUUCUUGAGUGUUGGAGAGGCUAACGGAACUCCUAGUGUAGCGGUGAAAUGCGUAGAUAUUAGGAAGAACACCAGUGGCGAAGGCGGUUAGCUGGACAAUAACUGACGCUGAGGCGCGGAAGCGUGGGUAGCAAACAGGAUUAGAUACCCUGGUA
This is a ribosomal RNA of 434 nucleotides. It matches the Rfam family "Bacterial small subunit ribosomal RNA", at positions 341 to 792 of the family's 1533-position model.